RNAcentral lists this ribosomal RNA (490 nucleotides) under uncultured bacterium. Its description in RNAcentral is "partial 16S ribosomal RNA". It matches the Rfam family "Bacterial small subunit ribosomal RNA", at positions 29 to 507 of the family's 1533-position model. The record is from RNAcentral.
AGUGAACGCUGGCGGCAGGCCUAACACAUGCAAGUCGAACGGCAGCACAAGAGAGCUUGCUCUCUGGGUGGCGAGUGGCGGACGGGUGAGGAAUGCAUCGGAAUCUGCCCAUUUGUGGGGGAUAACCUCGGGAAACCGGGACUAAUACCGCAUACGACCUACGGGUGAAAGCAGGGGAUCUUCGGACCUUGCGCAGAUGGAUGAGCCGAUGCCGGAUUAGCUAGUUGGUGGGGUAAAGGCCCACCAAGGCGACGAUCCGUAGCUGGUCUGAGAGGAUGAUCAGCCACACUGGGACUGAGACACGGCCCAGACUCCUACGGGAGGCAGCAGUGGGGAAUAUUGGACAAUGGGAGCAAGCCUGAUCCAGCCAUGCCGCGUGUGUGAAGAAGGCCUUCGGGUUGUAAAGCACUUUUGUUGGGAAAGAAAAGCAGCCGGUUAAUACCCGGUUGUCAUGACGGUACCCAAAGAAUAAGCACCGGCUAACUUCGUG